This is a long non-coding RNA of Perca fluviatilis (European perch), 831 nucleotides long. RefSeq lists it as uncharacterized. The record is from RefSeq and is a predicted model, not a curated record. The transcript has 5 exons. Lineage: Eukaryota; Metazoa; Chordata; Actinopteri; Perciformes; Percidae.
CCUACGCUCUAUGGUCUUGCAGCGGAAAGAUACCGGAGUAAAUUGCCUGUCGGACACCUUUGUUUCAUCUGUAUGUCGACGGUUACAAUUGUUUGGUGGACGGUCACUGCGAGCAGAGAUGAUAGUGGUCACAGUGAGGUAGAAUUUGAUCAAGAAGAUCUCCAAGGAAAUUGUCGACAUCUCAACCGUGAUGAAGAAUUUCAGAGAAAAGUGAUGGAAAUGCGUUAGGAUAUCCGCUCAUUGAAGAAACGGGAUGCAGAAAAGUACGAAGCAACUCAAAUUAUACAAGCGUCAACUGUUGAGGCUCUAAACCUCCUUGAUAGAUCCCUCGACUCCCUGGAGGAAAAACAGAAGCUGAUGAAUGCCUUGUCCAGGGUGGGAGGAGUCCACUUGAAAGACAAUGUUAAAAGGGUCAUGGAGAAAGAGUGUCCAGAGGACGACUGCAGAAAUGGAGGCAAGCAUUGCAGCGGCUGUCGCCUUCUGUUUGAAAUAUGCCCCAGACAGGGUGGGUGGAGGUGGAAGAAAAAAUAAUGCUUCUGAAGUUAAAUUUUUUUUUAGUUCAUAAGUGGGGUCUGAGUUCCGGACUGUUUGUUGAGUUUUGUUAAAAAUUUAAUUUUCUUUCAUUUUUCAAACCUUAUACCUGCUAAACACCUGCAUGUUAGCAUUGAACUUGUGAGCAUGUUUCCAUGUUAGCAUUAAAUUCAAAAUACCCCCUAUGUAGACUACAGCUUCAAGGAGCAUUUUCAUUAUGUUUGCCACCAUAAGUAGCUACUGAGCAAAGUCUUUUAAAACUACAAGUUUUAAAAUAAAGAGGUUAUUUUCUUAACUCAA